Molecule: ribosomal RNA, 252 nt
Filed under: uncultured bacterium
Lineage: Bacteria
Description: partial 16S ribosomal RNA
Rfam family: Bacterial small subunit ribosomal RNA
Source: RNAcentral
GCAAGUCGAGCGGUAACAGAGAGGUGCUUGCACCUUUGCUGACGAGCGGCGGACGGGUGAGUAAUGCCUGGGAAUAUGCCUUGAUGUGGGGGAUAACUAUUGGAAACGAUAGCUAAUACCGCAUAAUGCCUACGGGCCAAAGAGGGGGAUCUUCGGACCUCUCGCGUCAAGAUUAGCCCAGGUGGGAUUAGCUAGUUGGUGAGGUAAUGGCUCACCAAGGCGACGAUCCCUAGCUGGUCUGAGAGGAUGAUC